This 460-nucleotide ribosomal RNA is filed under the name uncultured bacterium. RNAcentral's name for it is "partial 16S ribosomal RNA". It matches the Rfam family "Bacterial small subunit ribosomal RNA", at positions 338 to 795 of the family's 1533-position model. The record is from RNAcentral.
CCUACGGGCGGCAGCAGUGAGGAAUAUUGGUCAAUGGACGAGAGUCUGAACCAGCCAAGUAGCGUGAAGGAUGACUGCCCUAUGGGUUGUAAACUUCUUUUAUAAAGGAAUAAAACGAGGCACGUGUGCCUUUUUGCAUGUACUUUAUGAAUAAGGAUCGGCUAACUCCGUGCCAGCAGCCGCGGUAAUACGGAGGAUCCGAGCGUUUUCCGGAUUUGUUGGGUUUAAAGGGAGCGUAGAUGGGUUGUUAAGUCAGUUGUGAAAGUUUGCGGCUCAACCGUAAAAUUGCAAUUGAUACUGGCAGUCUUGAGUACAGUUGAGGUAGGCGGAAUUCGUGGUGUAGCGGUGAAAUGCUUAGAUAUCACGAAGAACUCCGAUUGCGAAGGCAGCUUACUAAACUGCAACUGACAUUGAUGCUCGAAAGUGUGGGUAUCAAACAGGAUUAGAUACCCCUGUAGUC